Molecule: ribosomal RNA, 894 nt
Filed under: Lederbergia wuyishanensis
Lineage: Bacteria; Bacillati; Bacillota; Bacilli; Caryophanales; Bacillaceae
Description: bacterial SSU rRNA
Rfam family: Bacterial small subunit ribosomal RNA
Source: RNAcentral
UGCAGUCGAGCGAAUGGAUGGGAGCUUGCUCCCUGAAGUUAGCGGCGGACGGGUGAGUAACACGUGGGCAACCUGCCUGUAAGACUGGGAUAACUUCGGGAAACCGGAGCUAAUACCGGAUAACUUCUUUCCUCGCAUGAGGAAAGGUUAAAAGACGGUUAUGCUGUCACUUACAGAUGGGCCCGCGGCGCAUUAGCUAGUUGGUGAGGUAACGGCUCACCAAGGCGACGAUGCGUAGCCGACCUGAGAGGGUGAUCGGCCACACUGGGACUGAGACACGGCCCAGACUCCUACGGGAGGCAGCAGUAGGGAAUCUUCCGCAAUGGACGAAAGUCUGACGGAGCAACGCCGCGUGAGUGAAGAAGGUCUUCGGAUCGUAAAACUCUGUUAUCAGGGAAGAAUAAGUACCGUGUAACUAACGGUACCUUGACGGUACCUGACCAGAAAGCCACGGCUAACUACGUGCCAGCAGCCGCGGUAAUACGUAGGUGGCAAGCGUUGUCCGGAAUUAUUGGGCGUAAAGCGCGCGCAGGCGGUUUCUUAAGUCUGAUGUGAAAUCUCGCGGCUCAACCGUGAGCGGUCAUUGGAAACUGGGAAACUUGAGUGCAGAAGAGAAGAGCGGAAUUCCACGUGUAGCGGUGAAAUGCGUAGAGAUGUGGAGGAACACCAGUGGCGAAGGCGGCUCUUUGGUCUGUAACUGACGCUGAGGCGCGAAAGCGUGGGGAGCGAACAGGAUUAGAUACCCUGGUAGUCCACGCCGUAAACGAUGAGUGCUAAGUGUUAGAGGGUUUCCGCCCUUUAGUGCUGCAGCAAACGCAUUAAGCACUCCGCCUGGGGAGUACGGCCGCAAGGCUGAAACUCAAAGGAAUUGACGGGGGCCCGCACAAGCGGUGG